UACUUCACUUGAAUUGAAUAUUCUAUUAGACAGACAUGGCUUUUCUUCAAUUUAGAUAUGGGAGGGCGAUAUAUACAUCACGGCAUCAGUUGUAAAGGGAGAACAAUCGGAAGCUACCUGUGUUUAUUGAUGUGUAGCACCUAUAUAAAUCUUUUGCGAUGAAAUUGGACUGACAGGACCUACUAGACAAUGCUCAGUGGAU
This 202-nucleotide long non-coding RNA is filed under the name Elaeis guineensis (African oil palm). RNAcentral describes it as "long non-coding RNA (EGUI_LNC025336)". The record is from RNAcentral. Lineage: Eukaryota; Viridiplantae; Streptophyta; Magnoliopsida; Arecales; Arecaceae.